RNAcentral lists this ribosomal RNA (576 nucleotides) under uncultured bacterium. RNAcentral's name for it is "bacterial SSU rRNA". It matches the Rfam family "Bacterial small subunit ribosomal RNA", at positions 338 to 916 of the family's 1533-position model. The record is from RNAcentral.
CCUACGGGAGGCAGCAGUGAGGAAUAUUGGGCAAUGGGCGGAAGCCUGACCCAGCCAUGCCGCGUGCAGGAAGACGGUCCUAUGGAUUGUAAACUGCUUUUAUACGGGAAGAAACACUCCGACGUGUCGGAACUUGACGGUACCGUAAGAAUAAGGAUCGGCUAACUCCGUGCCAGCAGCCGCGGUAAUACGGAGGAUCCAAGCGUUAUCCGGAAUCAUUGGGUUUAAAGGGUCCGUAGGCGGCCUUAUAAGUCAGUGGUGAAAUCUCCUAGCUCAACUAGGAAACUGCCAUUGAUACUGUAGGGCUUGAAUUUUUGUGAAGUAACUAGAAUAUGUAGUGUAGCGGUGAAAUGCUUAGAUAUUACAUGGAAUACCAAUUGCGAAGGCAGGUUACUAACAAACGAUUGACGCUGAUGGACGAAAGCGUGGGGAGCGAACAGGAUUAGAUACCCUGGUAGUCCACGCCGUAAACGAUGGAUACUAGCUGUUCGGAUUUAUCUGAGUGGCUAAGCGAAAGUGAUAAGUAUCCCACCUGGGGAGUACGAACGCAAGUUUGAAACUCAAAUGAAUUGACGG